This 252-nucleotide non-coding RNA is filed under the name Enterococcus sp. Its description in RNAcentral is "T-box sequence". It matches the Rfam family "T-box leader". Rfam says of the family: Uncharged tRNA acts as the effector for transcription antitermination of genes in the T-box leader family. T-boxes are found upstream of many aminoacyl-tRNA synthetase genes and some amino acid biosynthetic genes usually in Gram-positive bacteria. Lineage: Bacteria; Bacillati; Bacillota; Bacilli; Lactobacillales; Enterococcaceae. The record is from RNAcentral.
AUGAAUGCUUUGAAAAGAAGAGUACAUGUUCUUGACGUACACAGAGAGCCCUGUUUGGUGUAAAUGGGCAACGAAGAGAAGAUGGAAGAUGGUCUUUGAGCAGGAUGGGUGAGUCUAAGGACAAGCCUAUCACGGGAUGCACCCGUUACUGUGCAACAGUAUGCGAAGAAAUUCAAGUACUGGAAGAGGCUGUUGAUGCGAGUCGACAGUAAAUCAAGGUGGUAACACGGAAGUUGUGCUUUCGUCCUUUGU